GAAAAAGAAGUAUCAUAUAAGAAGUUACUAAAUUUAUGGUUCAGCAGCAGCAGCAAUUAAUAUGAAUAUUCAAGAGAAAAGAUUGAAGCAAAGAGUAUCUCAUGUUCAGAUCAAUACAAUAGAAAAUAAGAUAGGCAAACAUGAAAAGUAAACCAUCCAGUGGAGACGACUAAAUUAUACUAUGAUGUAUGAAGUAGAUAUGAGGGUC
Molecule: unclassified non-coding RNA, 208 nt
Filed under: Hevea brasiliensis (rubber tree)
Lineage: Eukaryota; Viridiplantae; Streptophyta; Magnoliopsida; Malpighiales; Euphorbiaceae
Source: RNAcentral